UCAUUUGAAACUAUGCAACGUCUGUUACCCCAUUGAUUGCCAGGGUUGAUUCGGCUGAUCUGGCUGGCUAGGCGGGUGUCCCUUUUCUCCCUCAGUGCUCAAUGUGUGUCCUUCCUGAAGCUGUAUGCUUGGUUGAAGAGGACGACCAUCCCAGAUAGAGGAGGACCAUUCUUCAGACAAGGGUAUAUGAGUAGCUACGCUUCCCUGCUGGAACCUCCAAACAAAUAGGAAAUUUUAAAAAGCAUAAAUAUUUUAAAAUAGGGCCCUAUUUUU
Molecule: unclassified non-coding RNA, 273 nt
Gene: 7SK
Rfam family: 7SK RNA
About the family: 7SK was discovered as an abundant small nuclear RNA in the mid-70s but a possible function has only recently been suggested.
Source: Ensembl